UACGAAGGGGGCUAGCGUUGCUCGGAAUGACUGGGCGUAAAGGGCGCGUAGGCGGUUUGUACAGUCAGAUGUGAAAUUCCCGGGCUCAACCUGGGGGCUGCAUUUGAUACGUAUGGACUUGAGUUCGGAAGAGGGUCGUGGAAUUCCCAGUGUAGAGGUGAAAUUCGUAGAUAUUGGGAAGAACACCGGUGGCGAAGGCGGGUUGCUGGGCUGACACUGACGCUGAUGCGCGAAAGCUAGGGGAGCGAACGGG
This 253-nucleotide ribosomal RNA is filed under the name uncultured bacterium. RNAcentral describes it as "partial 16S ribosomal RNA". It matches the Rfam family "Bacterial small subunit ribosomal RNA", at positions 524 to 776 of the family's 1533-position model. The record is from RNAcentral.